Pelobates cultripes (western spadefoot toad) is the source of this 3716-nucleotide non-coding RNA. The record is from the annotation of a GenBank genome assembly. Lineage: Eukaryota; Metazoa; Chordata; Amphibia; Anura; Pelobatidae.
CCAAUUCCUCUCUAAACCAUCACAUGAUCAGUAAUCACAUCAGUUCCAACUCUACCGGGAGCAGUUAGUGACGUCUGGGUACCAGUGAGGAAUAUACAGUGUGGUCUGCCUGUCCUCGUUCGCUAGCGACAGCAACAGAGAGGGAGAGAGAGAGAGAGAGAGAGAGAGAGAGGCCUGAGAUCCCAGCUUUCACCAGGAGAAGUCUGUGUAUGUGUGUUAGAUGGGAUUGAAGGGGGGAAGUCCUAUUCUCUUCUCACAACGGAUGGCAUAAAAUGUUCGCUCAGGUCUGUGCUCGGGUGAGGGGAGCACGUGCCCCCUUUUUAUGACUGACGUGAAAUAUGGGGAAAAUCCCACAAAAACAAAUACCGUCUCCUACCCCACAAGACUUUGCAGUAGAACGUUUCCACCUGCAUGUAAAAGAUUAUCACAGCAUCAUACGCAAGGAUAGAGCGGAAUCUGCAGAGCAUCUCGCCCCCUGGUCUCACCUGUACGUUAUAACUAUAUAGAAUUUUUUUUAAACAAAUAUCAAAAAAACAACAACAUAUUUUUUGUAAAUGGGCUUUUCUGUGUUUACAUUUUCUACCAUUUGUAUUCACUGUGCAACACUGUGAGAGGCACUGGAAGAACAUGGGGAAUCCACCGUGCCGGGAGUUAUAUACGUAGGCUUUAACCAUUUCACUGCUGGACUGGCCGGUAACACGGUGUAACAUCAGUGGUCAACAGAACUGAAUUCAUUCAUUUGUGUGCGGUUUGGGAUAACAUAAGGAUCCUGCAAUUAAUUUCACUGUGUUUUAAUAUGUCCAUUUUAUACAUUAGGGAAAACUAGCCCCAUAAAACAAACACACCAAUGUUCAUUUGUGGGGGAAAUGAUUUGAGAACUUUGAGAACUCUGUGUGUAAAUGAGAGAUACUGUAACAGGCUGAGGGUGCUGCAUGAAGGAACCCCAGGAUCGCCCCAUGAAGUGGUCUGCGUGCCAUGUCCUGUCAUUUUAUCCUAGAGGCACUUGCCCUUCACAGCCAAAGGGGAGCUGGGUCUUAUUUGAAUGCCUCUCAUACAUUGCCCUGUCCAAUCCAAUGCUUCUCAGUGAGAUGAAUGGGAUUGCAGGUGAAGCGAGAGGCUGCAGCGGAGGGGUCCUAGCGCUGAAAACGAGUAAUAUUUUACACAGCAAUGGGCGGUGGACAGAAAUAACAUUUCUUAUUGUCAGAUCUAUAGGUUCCUGCUAAGAUAUUAUAAAGACACACCUUGUGGGGAUAUUACAUACAUGGUUAUUUACUAAGUCACAAAUUGCUGAUUAACAAAUAAAUCUCACGUUCUGCUAUUUUUUUUCUUCCAUUUGGCCUAAACUUUCCAAUUCCUGGUUUAGAAAAUAACAAAACGAAAUGAGCAGAGCUAAAUUGAUAGCAAAUAACCUUACUCUGUGUUAUUUUCAUAGCUAUCGCAAUGAUUAGAACACUUCUGGGUUCACGUACGAUCAAUAUCUUACAUUGGAGGUUUCUCACUAAACACGGAAUUGUGGUGAAUUGAAAUUAGAAUUUCAAAGACUUGUCAGAAAUAGCCAAAUGAAAAUGAAGCGGAAUUAAAGAUGGUUUCAUCAGAGCUGCUUUGGCCUAAAUGUUGCAGUUGGGUUUUUAAUUCAAUACAAAUCAUUGUUUAGUGAAUAAUUCUUAGAGGAGUAAUUAAACUGAGUUGGGGACAUUUUUCAAUCUAUUUUGUUCAAAUGUUGUGAACCCCUUGUCACUUCUUCUGAGUUACUGAUCCUAAAUGCAUCUCUGUAAAAUCAAUGUAUAUGCCGGUUGUAGUGGCGCUGAGCAUUGUACGAGCCAGGCUGGAUACGUAUCAUUCUAACAUGUUUGUUGGGGGUGUUCUUGAUAAAUGCUGCCUUUUGGUAUGCAGGAUUCAUGUGCUAUGAGGCAGGAACUCAGCUGAUCAAUGAAUAAUGGAUCAUGAAAGAAAUGCAUUGUUUACUGCAGCAUAUGAAUACUACAUACUGACGGGUAACCUGUUUCAUAUACCUCCUCAUGAAAAAGAUUUCAAAGGGAAUUAGACCAAUGAGUAAGACAUUGGGAAUCGCCCUGUUUUCUUUUAAAUGUUGACAAUAAAUUCACGUUUAGCUCAUUGGAUUGGCGGACGAGGGGAAACAUAAACAAUGUUUGUGCUCCUCCUCGAUGCUUUCUCUGUACUGACCGCCAGGUGCAAAAGGCAGUGCUGAUAGUGAUUGACAGUCGCCCAAUUCCAAGAGAGAGGUAAAUACAGCACUUUCAGUUCUUUACUUCUCAUUUUAUUUUUGAUAUCUUCAAACAUAUUUGUUAACUAGAAAUAACAUUACCAUUUCUGGAAUGUGACAAUUCCCCUUUAAAUGUCCAGGACCGUAUUUCAGGAAUGUGUAACAUUUAAUGGAUAUUAUGCUUCGCAAUGUACAUUUUAUAUAUUUUUUUUAAUUCCGGCUAUGGGCGGCAUUGCACAGUUUCAUUUCAGAGUGUUUUUAUUUUUUUAUGUUUACAAAAUGAUUUCAUAUCGUGAAAGCCUAUCAUUUCUCUUUAAAUGGUGAAACGCCGCUAACUGCUCAAUGUUACAUGUUUUAUGUCACAAACAGGCAGCUUAUAACACGCUAUCACAGGAGCAAUCAUUGCAAUCACACAUCUAUUUGCUCAUUGUGGGGAAAAAACAAGUAGAAAAAGAAGAAGAAUGAAAAAAAAAAGAAAUUUCAAUAAGCAGAAAAUACUGAUCAACAAUUCUGUAAAAAUGUAUUAAAUGUUUUCAACAUCUAUAUUUAAUAGUAGUUUUAGGUAACCGGCCAUAAAACCCGUCAUGUACUUACUUGUAACUGGGAAUUUUGAGUGUUGGUGUCUAUUAACAUCUGGACAUUGCCCCCAUGGGGGAAGGCAGAUAGGGCCCAGCUCCAUGGGGGAAGGCAGAUAGGGCCCGGCUCCAUGGGAUAAGGCAGAUAGGGCCCAGCUCCAUGGGGGAAAGCAGAUAGGGGCCGGCUCCAUGGGGGAAGGCAGAUAGGGCCGGCUCCCUGGGGGAAGGCAGAUAGGGCCCGGCUCCAUGGGGGAAGGCAGAUAGGGCCCGGCUCCAUGGGGGAAAGCAGAUAGGGCCCGGCUCCAUGGGGGAAGGCAGAUAGGGCCCGGCUCCAUGGGGGAAAGCAGAUAGGGCCCGGCUCCAUGGGGGAAAGCAAAUAGGGCCCGGCUCUAUGGGGGUAAGGAAGAUAGGGCCUGGCUCCAUGGGGGAAGGCAGAUAGGGCCUAGCUCCAUGGGGAGCUCCAUGGGGGAAGGUGGGUAGGGCCCGGUUCCAUGGGGGAAGGCAGUUUGGGUCCAGCUGCAUGGAAGAUGGCAGUUAGGGCCCGGCUCCAUGGGAAAUGGUGGUUAGGGCCCAGCUCAAUGGGAAAUGGUGGUUAGGGUCCGGCUUCAUAGGAGAAGGCGGUUAGAGCAGCUCCAUGAGGAAAGCAUUUAGGUACAAACUCACAAAUUAAAUGCAUUGAAGGCCCUACUUACCAUUGUUAGGUAUUAAAUGCCAGUUCCUUACCACUAAUUUCUGCACCAAUAUAAGAUAAAUAUAUAGUUUUUCAUAAAAGGUACUAGAAGAACAAGUUAUGAGGGGCUGGGAAUUUUGUCACUUAGGGGGGACUUUAUGCCCUGAAAUUGACCAUAUCUCCUAGCAUAUUGUAUAAAUAAUGCAUUUAAAAUCAUGCAAAAACAACCAUUCUAAAAUAAUAAAAU